This 99-nucleotide transfer RNA is filed under the name Clostridia bacterium. Its description in RNAcentral is "tRNA-Thr". Lineage: Bacteria; Bacillati; Bacillota; Clostridia. The record is from RNAcentral.
GUAAUUGCUAUUCAACGGGAACUGGGUCUGCCCGUUUGGUAUGUGGGUGUGGGUGAAGGGCUGGACGAUCUGGAACCGUUCGACGCGGACGCUUUUGUG